Molecule: ribosomal RNA, 253 nt
Filed under: uncultured bacterium
Lineage: Bacteria
Description: partial 16S ribosomal RNA
Rfam family: Bacterial small subunit ribosomal RNA
Source: RNAcentral
UACGUAGGGUGCGAGCGUUGUCCGGAAUUAUUGGGCGUAAAGGGCUCGUAGGCGGUCUGUCGCGUCGGGAGUGAAAACUCAGGGCUUAACCCUGAGCCUGCGUCCGAUACGGGCAGACUAGAGGUAUGCAGGGGAGAGCGGAAUUCCUGGUGUAGCGGUGGAAUGCGCAGAUAUCAGGAGGAACACCGGUGGCGAAGGCGGUGCUCUGGGCAUUACCUGACGCUGAGGAGCGAAAGUGUGGGGAGCGAACAGG